Molecule: ribosomal RNA, 111 nt
Filed under: Caerostris darwini
Lineage: Eukaryota; Metazoa; Arthropoda; Arachnida; Araneae; Araneidae
Source: RNAcentral
ACGGCCAUACCAUACUGAAUAUACCGGUUCUCGUUAGAUCACCGAAGUCAAGCAUCAUUGGGCGCGGUCAGUACUUGGGUGGGUGACCACCUGGGAACACCGCGUGCCGUU